RNAcentral lists this long non-coding RNA (217 nucleotides) under Lathyrus oleraceus (garden pea). RNAcentral's name for it is "Pisum sativum (pea) long non-coding RNA (PSAT_LNC024205)". The record is from RNAcentral. Lineage: Eukaryota; Viridiplantae; Streptophyta; Magnoliopsida; Fabales; Fabaceae.
UUCAACGGUCUUCACGAUCCGGCUUUGUUGAGCAACUUCCUCAAGGGCUUUGUUGUCUUCAAGAGGUUCUUGAUGAACCUUCGAUAAAAUCUGAUACCACCCGUUUUCGGAAACUACUUGCACAACACUCACCCAUUCACCAUCGGAGAUAGAACAAUUCAUCCCGGCCUCUACUAGUUUGAAAACUUCCUUCUUCAAUACUUCCUCCUCAACUUCC